This is a long non-coding RNA of Haplochromis burtoni (Burton's mouthbrooder), 971 nucleotides long. RefSeq lists it as uncharacterized. NCBI's taxonomy places the organism in Eukaryota, Metazoa, Chordata, Actinopteri, Cichliformes, Cichlidae. The transcript is spliced from 3 exons. The record is from RefSeq and is a predicted model, not a curated record.
AGGGCGCUCCUGGUGACAAAGGCAGACAAGGUCCUCAGGGAAGAGACGGACCAAAGGGUCAAACAGGAGCACCUGGGUUUCCAGGUGAUGUUGGCGAGAGAGGCUACACUGGUUAUCCUGGACAGCAAGGCCCAAUUGGAAAGAGCGGUCCGAAGGUACACAAAUAAACUGAGGCACUUUUAUUCUGCUCAAAUCUUUUUUUUCAUGCCCGAGUGUCUGUAUUUAAGUGCACCUAGUCAUCCUUUCAGUUUCCAGAUUAUGGCCUUCAUGAUUCAGCCUGGGAAGAAAACUUUUGCAUUUUAUGAGUCUGAGAGUCACUCUGGCUCCUGGCCACAUUUCACAGGAAUCUCACAUAAAUAUUAUUACUGCCCAGAGGGUACAUUUUUUUUUCCAGUUUGGAUAUCUCAUUUCUGCCCUUUUGCGAGACCCACAUCACAAACUAAUGAAUCAGCCAUAAAAAUAGCAAAACUGUCUAAAGCCAAGGCACACUGUUAAGAGCUGGUAAAACUCCCUACAAAAAAGCUAAAAUAAAGGGAAUGAUGUAAGUAUGGGCAAUUAAAGAAUUUAGUAUUAAUGUAACACACAAACAUAUGCAGUGUUAGUUGACUCUAAGUACACACUUUAUUAAGCUGAAUAAAUGACAAAAACACUUUUGUAUAACAGUAUACAUCACUGGCUCUCAAACCUUUUCUAACCUAUUUCAGCCUAGAAGCCAAAAUAAGUUAUAGCAACACACAAUAAAAAAAACAAAAAGAAUAAAAAUGGUUGAAGUUGAAUUUUACUUAAAUGUGCCAGCACAAGCACAUUUAAGCACUUAAGCAUUUAAGCACACUUGCCUUCCCCCCCAAAUAUUGUAUUGUAAUUUAUUCAUUUGUUUAACUUUAUAUUUUUCACCUGUUUGCUGGCACCUCACCAGUGGUCCUACUGAGACUUCAGAGUAGCAGUCAGAAAAACUUCAUGUUGACUGAAGG